This 468-nucleotide ribosomal RNA is filed under the name uncultured bacterium. RNAcentral's name for it is "partial 16S ribosomal RNA". It matches the Rfam family "Bacterial small subunit ribosomal RNA", at positions 28 to 507 of the family's 1533-position model. The record is from RNAcentral.
GACGAACGCUGGCGGCGUGCUUAACACAUGCAAGUCGAACGGUAAGGCCCAGCAUCUAUGCUUUGCCAGAGUGGCGUUCGGGUGUGUAAGCAGUGAGUAACGUGACCUUUACUCAGGGUUACUCUCAGGAAGCUGGGGCCAAUACCGGCUAGCAGCUCCACCAGAUAACUGUGGGACGGAAAGUUUCGGCGGAUGGGGAUGGACUCGCGGCUGGUCUGAUUGCGGGUGGGGUUGAGGCUUACCAAGGCUUUGACGGGUCGCCGGCCUGGGAGGGUGACCGGCCACAUUACGACUGAGAUACGGCCCAGACUCCAACGGGACGCAACGGUGGGGAGUAUUACACAGUGGGCGGAAGCCUGAUGCGACAACGCCGCGUGCGGGAAGUCGUGCUGCAAGUUGUAAACCGCUUUCGCCUGUGACGAGGCGUAAGUGACGGUAAUGGAUAAAGAAGCACCGGCUAACUACGUG